GACGAACGCUGGCGGCGUGCUUAACACAUGCAAGUCGAACGAAGUGGCGAACGGGUGAGUAACGCGUAAUCAACCUGCCCAUCAGCGGGGGACAACAGUUGGAAACGACUGCUAAUACCGCAUACUGAAGGAGGGGAUUGCGUGUGAUUAGGUAGUUGGAGGGGUAAGGCCCCACCAAGGCGAUGAUCAGUAGCCGGUCUGAGAGGCUGAACGGCUACAUUGGGACUGAGACACGGCCCAGACUCCUACGGGAGGCAGCAGUGGGGAAUCUUCCGAAAUGGACGAAAGUCUGACGGAGCAACGCCGCGUGAGUGAUGACGGCCUUCGGGUUGUAAAGCUCUGUUAAUCGGGACGCGGUACCGGAAUAGAAAGCCACGGCUAACUACGUGCCAGUAGCCGCGGUAAUUC
This 408-nucleotide ribosomal RNA is filed under the name uncultured bacterium. RNAcentral's name for it is "partial 16S ribosomal RNA". It matches the Rfam family "Bacterial small subunit ribosomal RNA", at positions 28 to 526 of the family's 1533-position model. The record is from RNAcentral.